This 609-nucleotide ribosomal RNA is filed under the name gamma proteobacterium endosymbiont of Aphis craccivora. RNAcentral describes it as "bacterial SSU rRNA". It matches the Rfam family "Bacterial small subunit ribosomal RNA", at positions 8 to 605 of the family's 1533-position model. The record is from RNAcentral. Lineage: Bacteria; Pseudomonadati; Pseudomonadota; Gammaproteobacteria.
AGAGUUUAUCCGUGGCUCUGAUUGAACGCUGGCGGCAAGCCUAACACACGCAAGUCGAGCGGCAUGGAGAGAAAACUUGCUUUCUUGUCGGCGAGCGGCAAACGGGUGAGUUAUAUCUGGGAAUCUACCCAAAAGAGGGGGAUUACUACUAGAAAUGGUAGCUAAUACCGCAUAAAUCUGAAAAACCAAAUUGGGGGACCUUUCUAGGCCUCAUGCUUUUGGAUGAACCCAUAUGAGAUUAGCUUGUUGGUAAGGUAAAGGCUUACCUAGGCUACGAUCUCUAGCUGGUCUGAGAGGAUAACCAGCCACACUGGAACUGAGACACGGUCCAGACUCCUACGGGAGGCAGCAGUGGGGAAUAUUGCACAAUGGGCGAAAGCCUGAUGCAGCUAUGCCGCGUGUAUGAAGAAGGCCUUAGGGUUGUAAAGUACUUUCAGCGGGGAGGAAAAAAAUAAAGUUAAUAAGUUUAUUUUUUGACGUUACCUGAAGAAGAAGCACCGGCUAACUCCGUGCCAGCAGCCGCGGUAAUACGGAGGGUGCUAGCGUUAAUCAGAAUUACUGGGCGUAAAGAUCACGAAGGGGGUGUGCUAAGUCGGAGUGAAAUUCCUG